This 483-nucleotide ribosomal RNA is filed under the name uncultured bacterium. RNAcentral describes it as "bacterial SSU rRNA". It matches the Rfam family "Bacterial small subunit ribosomal RNA", at positions 328 to 802 of the family's 1533-position model. The record is from RNAcentral.
AUGAAACACUCCUACGGGAGGCAGCAGUGGGGAAUUUUGGACAAUGGGCGCAAGCCUGAUCCAGCCAUGCCGCGUGAGUGAAGAAGGCCUUCGGGUUGUAAAGCUCUUUCGGCCGGGAAGAAAUCGUGUUCUCUAACAUAGGACAUGGAUGACGGUACCGGACUAAGAAGCACCGGCUAACUACGUGCCAGCAGCCGCGGUAAUACGUAGGGUGCGAGCGUUAAUCGGAAUUACUGGGCGUAAAGCGUGCGCAGGCGGUUUUGUAAGACAGAUGUGAAAUCCCCGGGCUCAACCUGGGAAUUGCAUUUGAGACUGCACGGCUAGAGUGUGUCAGAGGGGGGUAGAAUUCCACGUGUAGCAGUGAAAUGCGUAGAUAUGUGGAGGAAUACCGAUGGCGAAGGCAGCCCCCUGGGAUAACACUGACGCUCAUGCACGAAAGCGUGGGGAGCAGACAGGAUUAGAAACCCUGGUAGUCCGAAGUUC